GACGGAGGGUGCGAGCGUUAUUCGGAAUCAUUGGGCGUAAAGAGCGUGUAGGCGGUCGGUUAAGUCAGGUGUGAAAGCCCGGGGCUCAACUCCGGAAGGGCACUUGAAACUGGUCGGCUUGAGUCCGGGAGAGGGAAGCGGAAUUCCUGGUGUAGAGGUGAAAUUCGUAGAUAUCAGGAGGAACACCGGUGGCGAAGGCGGCUUCCUGGACCGAGACUGACGCUGAGACGCGAAAGCGUGGGGAGCAAACAGG
RNAcentral lists this ribosomal RNA (253 nucleotides) under uncultured bacterium. RNAcentral describes it as "partial 16S ribosomal RNA". It matches the Rfam family "Bacterial small subunit ribosomal RNA", at positions 524 to 776 of the family's 1533-position model. The record is from RNAcentral.